RNAcentral lists this long non-coding RNA (1116 nucleotides) under Anser brachyrhynchus (Pink-footed goose). RNAcentral describes it as "lncRNA (ENSABRG00000017673.1)". The record is from RNAcentral. Lineage: Eukaryota; Metazoa; Chordata; Aves; Anseriformes; Anatidae.
CCGUCUGUCGUUACUGCAGCUGAUUUCCUUGCUUCAGGGACGGACAUGCUCCUUCCGUGAUGCGGCUGUGGCAUUUUUGUUCCUACCCCUGCCAAAACGUAGCAGAGUUGUGCUCUCUGCAGUUAGGUGUUCCCCACGUGGAAACGCAGGGGAUCGAAUGGGAAGAUGGUCUCGGGAAGUCCAGAUAGACCUUUGGCCACCUGUCGGCAGCUCGGACCUUACAACCACCCUUACGCGUUCAGAGUACAGGACAGAGAAGCAGGAUGCUGGGGCUCAAAGCUCCUGCCUUUACUGAAAAUUUAGUAUGUGGCCUUCAGCACAUUGCUCAACACCCGUGGAUGUCCGAGGUGGGGAAACCCACAUGGUCUGCGGCGUGUUGGCCCCCUCUCCAGGACAGACAAUGUCUCCCCCGAUGUUAAUACAAUGCAGGGCUGAUCUUCACAACCACGACGUACUCUUAAGCCCACCUAUGGCACUACCAGGGAGCUCUGACUCGUGGCUCUCAGCAGCAGCCUCUGGACAUAGAGCAAGGCUGGGGCAGGGCAAAUGUCCCACUUGUUAAGGCUUGCAGACCCGCGGCAUGGCAGUGUGGGAGCCAAGCGAGCAGGACGCAAUGCCUCCAGCACUGCCAGCUUGUGUGGACAGCUUUAUGUGCCGUUCCUCUGCCUCCUGCUUCAUAGACGGGAUAAACGAUGUGUGAGAUGAGCCAAGAACACAUUUUAUAUGAACAUCAUGUACUGCAGGAAACGUGUCUCUGCCAUCUUCCAGCCUCGGUUUCUUUUACAAGAAAUUAGCCACUCAAGAAAAUUCCAGCUUCUCUCUUGCUUGGAUUUCCUAAUUGUGUCAAGAUCCCUAUGAAGAGCUCAUUAAUAGAUUAAAGGAGCACGAUGUCUGCAAUGAAUAUUCUGGGGGGAGACAGAUGACUUGAGAGAGAUGUGUGCUUUAACAAGGGUCCAGGCCAUCAGCAGUGACAGCCAACACUGCUGUAGCGGGGUGCUGGAGCUUCCCCAGCCGGGGAGCAGGGAUGCUGGGCUCAGGCUGUGCCCUCGGCCGGGACCCUGCCUGCUACACCAUUACCUUAAUAAACUCCUUAUUCGUGGAAAAGGACUUUCUAUG